CAAUAAGAGUGUUUAUGGCACUCUUCCAAAAAUCCAUACCCACCUUGUGUGCAACGUAAGAAGAAAAAAGACGCGAGUCAUGGGGGACCCCAAGCUGGUAACAGCAAAAGGAAGCCCAAGUCUGGCCCUUUUUUCUUUUCCACAUACACCUUUCUAUUAGUUCCUAUUGUCUGAAGCUGUUAGAGAAUGACUAAUUCUUAAACA
RNAcentral lists this unclassified non-coding RNA (204 nucleotides) under uncultured Mortierellales. Its description in RNAcentral is "sequence contains ITS1". Lineage: Eukaryota; Fungi; Mortierellomycota; Mortierellomycetes; Mortierellales. The record is from RNAcentral.